GCUCCUCAUUUUGGAUCUGUAAUUACCCAUUUUGUCUUUCAAACUGUUUAUCCACCCACCCAGAAGGCGAACCUGGUUCUUGAAGGUUUCUUGAAGGGUGGAAGACAUCCAUUUUUUCCACAUGAUUUGGACAAUAUGUCAUUCUCUUCCACAGUCUCAACACCUCUUUCACAACUGACUCAUCUACAUGUCCAAAGUGUUUCUUAAGAACUGCCUUCACAUUAUUUUGCAAAAGUGGCUGGGACAACUGAACUAUUUGGUUUGCUGUAUUGUGCAACAUGUAGCAAGUGCUGUGGUCACAGUAUUGAUUAAUAGCCUGCACGUGGGAUCUUCCUUUGCACCAACAGUCGUUGUCCUGACAACGAGUCUCAGCUGAUUACUGAUAAUGGUAAAUCAGUGUCUUUUCCGUAUGGUCUACUGCAGGAUGGAUAUAAAAGUAUAAAAUAGCCUACUUUUUGGUUAGACAAGAUCAUUAAUAUGUGAACUAUCACAAUUAAAGCACAAAGACAUAACAACAUUACACCCCAAGACCGUUCACAAGUGUGAGAGAAGAGAAGAAACAGUUUCUGGAAGAGAAGUUCAUCAGGCGAGUUGGAGCAUUGACUUUGUCGAGUCAUCCAGUUUAGCGGGGAAGCAUGUACAGACUGAACAGCAGGGGACCAAGCACAGAACCUGGCGGGACACCACAGGACGAAGGAACAGAAUCUGACAUGAAAGAUCCUGAGGACACUGAAAAACUCCUGUCAGAAAGAUAGGAGGUAAACCAAUCCAGAGCAGAUCCAGAAAUGUCCACUAGAGAGUUUAUUCUAUCAAUCAGAGUUCUGUGAUCAACAGUAUCAGAUGCGGCACUGAGAUCCAACAAGACCAGCACAGAACAUUCUCCUGCAUCAGCAGCCAUCAAGAUGUCAUUUGAAACCCUAAGGAGGGCAGUUUCAGUUGAACGUUUUUUACGAAAGCCAGACUGGAAUUUAUCACAGAUACUAUGAGCCUCCAACACAUAAUUUAACUGCAUUGCCACAACCCUUUCUAGGAUUUUAGAAAUAAAAGGCAAUUUCGAAAUAGGCCUAUAGUUGUUAAAAGAUGCUGCAUCAAGAUUACUCUUUUUCAAAAGAGGCUGAACAACAGCAUGUUUAAGACACAGAGGGACCUGUCCCAGUCUAAGAGAUAGAUUUAUAAUUGAAACCAAACAUGGGCCAAUAGAU
Molecule: long non-coding RNA, 1202 nt
Organism: Cyprinus carpio carpio
Lineage: Eukaryota; Metazoa; Chordata; Actinopteri; Cypriniformes; Cyprinidae
Source: Ensembl